UGAAGUUAAAGNCAUUGGCUCAACCAAUGUAUGCUUUGGAAACUGUUAGACUUGAGUGCAGAAGGGGAGAGUGGAAUUCCAUGUGUAGCGGUGAAAUGCGUAGAUAUAUGGAGGAACACCGGUGGCGAAAGCGGCUCUCUGGUCUGUCACUGACGCUGAGGCUCGAAAGCGUGGGUAGCGAACAGGAUUAGAUACCCUGGUAGUCCACGCCGUAAACGCUGAGUGCUAGGUGUUAGGUCCUUUCCGGGACUUAGUGCCGACGCUAACGCAUUAAGCACUCCGCCUGGGGAGUACGACCGCAAGGUUGAAACUCAAAGGAAUUGACGGGGGCCCGCACAAGCGGUGGAGCAUGUGGUUUAAUUCGAAGCAACGCGAAGAACCUUACCAGGUCUUGACAUCCCGAUGCCCGCUCUAGAGAUAGAGUUUUUCUUCGGAACAUCGGAGACAGGUGGUGCAUGGUUGUCGUCAGCUCGUGUCGUGAGAUGUUGGGUUAAGUCCCGCAACGAGCGCAACCCUUAUUGUUAGUUGCCAUCAUUAAGUUGGGCACUCUAGCGAGACUGCCGGUAAUAAACCGGAGGAAGGUGGGGAUGACGUCAAAUCAUCAUGCCCCUUAUGACCUGGGCUACACACGUGCUACAAUGGUUGGUACAACGAGUCGCAAGCCGGUGACGGCAAGCUAAUCUCUGAAAGCCAAUCACAGUUCGGAUUGUAGGCUGCAACUCGCCUACAUGAAGUCGGAAUCGCUAGUAAUCGCGGAUCAGCACGCCGCGGUGAAUACGUUCCCGGGCCUUGUACACACCGCCCGUCACACCACGAGAGUUUGUAACACCCAAAGUCGGU
RNAcentral lists this ribosomal RNA (840 nucleotides) under uncultured bacterium. RNAcentral describes it as "bacterial SSU rRNA". It matches the Rfam family "Bacterial small subunit ribosomal RNA", at positions 590 to 1431 of the family's 1533-position model. The record is from RNAcentral.